UUUACGUUCUUAUUUCAUUUUCCUCGUAGCCACAUAAAGAAGGAGGCCACAAAAAGUCUUUUCUUCAUCGCUGUACUACUAUUUCUGCAGCGUGUCUGCAAUUAUUAUUUACUAUUUUAUAUUAUUAGUGUGAAGAAAAAAUAUUUUCAAGACUUGCGUCAGAAUAAUAUCAAGACCCUAUGACUUAAAUCCAUUAUCUUUCCCAUUUCACUUCUUGGAAAUUGUUCUUACUAUAGUACCAAGCCAAACAUAAACCUCAAAAAACAUUUGCCCAAAAAAAAAAAAAAAUUUCACCUGCUUUUGUUGGUGCUAUUUUUGAGGUAUUUCUCAAUUCUUUGUUCUUUUCCGGUUCUUAUUCAUUUUCUGUUUUUUUCUACUUUCUUAUUGUUUAUUUUUGUGUUUUUCAUGAUCUUGAGAUCAAGAAUCCAAUCUUAGAUAAAUUGGUUUUGUCAAAAGUUUCAAUCUUUUUAUGAAUCCCUCUAAAUAUUUGAUUCUGUAGUUGAAUCUUGGUUGUUAAUUUUUACCCCUACUUCUUAUUCUUCUUCCUUUUGUCCUUUUUUGGAUUUUCUGGGGUUGAAUUUGAAGCAAGUGUUGAGUUAAGAUACUAAAUUGACACAGCCUUAUCAAAAAAAAAAAAAAAAAAA
Molecule: long non-coding RNA, 644 nt
Filed under: Nicotiana benthamiana
Lineage: Eukaryota; Viridiplantae; Streptophyta; Magnoliopsida; Solanales; Solanaceae
Description: long non-coding RNA (NBEN_LNC003024)
Source: RNAcentral